UACUUUUACACCGCUUUAGGUUUUCUUAGGGUAAUACCAUAAGAAAUUAAAAGGGAAUACGGUGUAACUCCGUAACUGUCCCGCAGCUGUAAGCUCCAUAACCGUUGUUCAAUCAAUUGGUCACUGUCCAUGUAAAAUAUGGGCGGGAAGACCGGGCAACAGGGGAGUAAGUCAGAAGACCUGCCAGAGCAUAAAUAUUAUU
This 202-nucleotide non-coding RNA is filed under the name Mucilaginibacter sp. The record is from RNAcentral. Lineage: Bacteria; Pseudomonadati; Bacteroidota; Sphingobacteriia; Sphingobacteriales; Sphingobacteriaceae.